UACGGAGGGUGCAAGCGUUAUCCGGAUUCACUGGGUUUAAAGGGCGCGUAGGCGGUCGUGACAAGUCACUUGUGAAAUCUCCGGGCUUAACUCGGAAAGGUCAAGUGAUACUGUCGGACUAGAGUACAGAAGGGGCAACUGGAAUUCUCGGUGUAGCGGUGAAAUGCGUAGAUAUCGAGAGGAACACCUGCGGCGAAGGCGGGUUGCUGGGCUGAUACUGACGCUGAGGCGCGAAAGCUAGGGGAGCGAACGGG
RNAcentral lists this ribosomal RNA (254 nucleotides) under uncultured bacterium. Its description in RNAcentral is "partial 16S ribosomal RNA". It matches the Rfam family "Bacterial small subunit ribosomal RNA", at positions 524 to 776 of the family's 1533-position model. The record is from RNAcentral.